This 308-nucleotide ribosomal RNA is filed under the name uncultured soil bacterium. Its description in RNAcentral is "bacterial SSU rRNA". It matches the Rfam family "Bacterial small subunit ribosomal RNA", at positions 26 to 330 of the family's 1533-position model. The record is from RNAcentral.
AGAGUGAACGCUGGCGGUAGGCCUAACACAUGCAAGUCGAACGGCAGCACAGUGGUAGCAAUACCAUGGGUGGCGAGUGGCGGACGGGUGAGGAAUACAUCGGAAUCUACCUUUUCGUGGGGGAUAACGUAGGGAAACUUACGCUAAUACCGCAUACGCCCUUCGGGGGAAAGCCGGGGAUCGCAAGACCUGGCGCGGAUAGAUGAGCCGAUGUCGGAUUAGCUAGUUGGUGAGGUAAUGGCUCACCAAGGCGACGAUCCGUAGCUGGUCUGAGAGGAUGAUCAGCCACACUGGAACUGAGACACGGU